UCGAACCCACAACCUCAUGGUUCCUAGUCAGAACCAGCAGGAAGAUGCUGGCUGCUCCAUCGACCUGAGUCCCGGGAUGAGGAGAUAGGAAGAGUUUCUGCUAUGCUGUGGACACGGGACAUAAAUGCCAUUGAUUCGUGACUUUGAGAUGCACCUCAUGACAAGGAAGGAUCCAAGAUGAGACUAGAAAUGGUCCUGGAGAAUGUAUCUCUCACACUUAUAUUCUGGAAUAAAAUUCAA
Molecule: long non-coding RNA, 240 nt
Organism: Phacochoerus africanus (Common warthog)
Lineage: Eukaryota; Metazoa; Chordata; Mammalia; Artiodactyla; Suidae
Exons: 3
Source: RefSeq, a predicted model, not a curated record